UACGGAGGGUGCAAGCGUUAUCCGGAUUUAUUGGGUUUAAAGGGUCCGUAGGCGGACUGUUAAGUCAGCGGUGAAAGCCCACAGCUCAACUGUGGAACUGCCGUUGAUACUGACAGUCUUGAGUACAAGUGAGGUUGGCGGAAUGUGUGGUGUAGCGGUGAAAUGCUUAGAUAUCGGAAGGAACAUCAGUGGCGCAGGCGACUUCCUGGACAGAUACUGACACUGAGGCACGAAAGCGUGGGGAGCAAACAGG
This 253-nucleotide ribosomal RNA is filed under the name uncultured bacterium. Its description in RNAcentral is "partial 16S ribosomal RNA". It matches the Rfam family "Bacterial small subunit ribosomal RNA", at positions 524 to 776 of the family's 1533-position model. The record is from RNAcentral.